UACAGAGGUCUCAAGCGUUGUUCGGAUUCAUUGGGCGUAAAGGGUGUGUAGGUGGCGCCGUAAGUCGGGUGUGAAAUUUCGGAGCUUAACUCCGAAACUGCAUUCGAUACUGCGGUGCUUGAGGACUGGAGUGGAGAGUGGAAUUCCUGGUGUAGCGGUGAAAUGCGCAGAUAUCAGGAAGAACACCCGUGGCGAAGGCGGCUCUCUGGGACGGUACUGACGCUGAGACGCGAAAGCGUGGGGAGCGAACAGG
Molecule: ribosomal RNA, 253 nt
Filed under: uncultured bacterium
Lineage: Bacteria
Description: partial 16S ribosomal RNA
Rfam family: Bacterial small subunit ribosomal RNA
Source: RNAcentral